This is a small nuclear RNA of Cavia aperea (Brazilian guinea pig), 104 nucleotides long. The record is from Ensembl. NCBI's taxonomy places the organism in Eukaryota, Metazoa, Chordata, Mammalia, Rodentia, Caviidae.
GUGCUCACUUCAGUAGCGUAAGUACUAAAACUGGAAAGAUACAGAGAUUAGGAUGUCCCCUGAACAAGGAUGACCCACAAAUUUGUGAAGCGUUCCAUAUUUAA